GGGGCGUAGAGCGCGGCCCCCCCCCUGCCUGAGAUACGGCAGAUCCUACGGGAGGCAGCAGUCGGGGUAUGCGCAAUGGGCGAAAGCUAGACGCAGCGACCCGCGUGGGCGAUGAAGGUCUUCGGAUGUAAGCCCUUUUCUGGGGACGAGCAAGGACGGUACCCCAGGAAUAAGUCCUGGCUAACUACGUGCCAGCAGCCGCGGUAACACGUAGGGGACAAGCGUUAUCCGGAUUUACUGGGCGUAAAGAGCGUUGAGGCGGUUCUGUAAGUUGGGCGUGAAAGCCCCGGGAUUAACUCGGGGAUGUCGUUCAAUACUGCAGGGCUUGAGGGCAGCAGAGGGAGGUGGAAUUCCCGGUGGAGCGGUGAAAUGCGCAGAUAUCGGGAGGAACACCAGUGGCGAAGGCGGCCUCCUGGGCUGUUCCUGACGCUGAAGGCGAAAGCUAGGGGAGCAAGCGGGAUUAGAGACCCCGGUAGUCCUAGCUAUAAACGAUGGAUGCUAGGUGUGGAAGGUAUAGAAUCCUGCCGUGCCAAAGCUAACGCGUUAAGCAUCCCGCCUGGGGACUACGGCCGCAAGGCUAAAACUCAAACGAAUUGACGGGGGCCCGCACAAGCAGCGGAGCGUGUGGUUUAAUUCGAUGCUACACGAAGAACCUUACCUGGGUUUGACAUGCAGGUAGUAGUGAAGCGAAAGCAGAACGACCCUUCGGGGAGCCUGCACAGGUGCUGCAUGGCUGUCGUCAGCUCGUGCCGUGAGGUGUCGGGUUAAGUCCCGUAACGAGCGCAACCCUUACCCUUAGUUACAAGUGUCUAAGGGGACUGCCCGGGACAACUGGGAGGAAGGUGGGGAUGACGUCAAGUCAGCAUGGCCUUUAUAUCCAGGGCCACACACACGCUACAAUGGCCGGUACAAUGGGUUGCCAAGCCGCGAGGCGGAGCCAAUCCCACAAAGCCGGUCUCAGUUCGGAUUGCAGGCUGCAACUCGCCUGCAUGAAGUUGGAGUUGCUAGUAACCGCGCGUCAGCUAUAGUGCGGUGAAUACGUUCCCGGGCCUUGUACACACCGCCCGUCACGUCAUGGAAGCUGGCAACACCUGAAGCCGGUGGGCCAACCCGAAAGGGAGGCAGCCGUCGAAGGUGAGGCUGAUAACUGGGACGAAGUCGUAACAAGGUAGCCGUA
This 1177-nucleotide ribosomal RNA is filed under the name uncultured bacterium. RNAcentral describes it as "bacterial SSU rRNA". It matches the Rfam family "Bacterial small subunit ribosomal RNA", at positions 287 to 1504 of the family's 1533-position model. The record is from RNAcentral.